UGGGGGAUAUUGCACAAUGGGCGAAAGCCUGAUGCAGCGACGCCGCGUGGGGGAUGAAGGCUUUCGGGUUGUAAACCUCUUUCGCUAUCGAACAAGGCCCGCUUAGGGUGGGGUGAGGGUAGGUGGAGAAGAAGCGCCGGCUAACUACGUGCAAGCAGCCGCGGUAAUACGUAGGGCGCGAGCGUUGUCCGGAAUUAUUGGGCGUAAAGGGCUUGUAGGCGGCUUGUUGCGCCUGCUGUGAAAACGCGGGGCUUAACUUCGCGCGUGCAGUGGGUACGGGCAGGCUUGAGUGUGGUAUGGGUGACUGGAAUUCCAGGUGUAGCGGUGGAAUGCGCAGAUAUCUGGAGGAACUCCGAUGGCGAAGGCAGGUCACUGGGCCAUUACUGACGCUGAGGAGCGAAAGCAUGGGUAGCGAACAGG
Molecule: ribosomal RNA, 420 nt
Filed under: bacterium
Lineage: Bacteria
Description: partial 16S ribosomal RNA
Rfam family: Bacterial small subunit ribosomal RNA
Source: RNAcentral